GGGCCCGCACAAGCAGUGGAGCAUGUGGUUUAAUUCGAUGAUACGCGAGGAACCUUACCAGGGUUUAAAUGCAGAACGACAGGGGUGGAAACACCCCCUUCUUCGGACGGACUGCAAGGUGCUGCAUGGUUGUCGUCAGCUCGUGCUGUGAAGUGUCGGGUUAAGUCCCAUAACGAGCGCAACCCCCAUUUCUAGUUGCCAGCGGUUCGGCCGGGGACUCUAGAGAAACUGCCAGCGUAAGCUGUGAGGAAGGUGGGGAUGACGUCAAAUCAUCACGGCCCUUACAUCCUGGGCCACACACGUGCUACAAUGGUAGGGACAACAGGUUGCCAACCCGCGAGGGUGAGCCAAUCCCAAAACCCUAUCUCAGUUCGGAUCGCAGUCUGCAACUCGACUGCGUGAAGCUGGAAUCGCUAG
RNAcentral lists this ribosomal RNA (417 nucleotides) under uncultured bacterium. RNAcentral describes it as "bacterial SSU rRNA". It matches the Rfam family "Bacterial small subunit ribosomal RNA", at positions 917 to 1338 of the family's 1533-position model. The record is from RNAcentral.